GUAGGAGUAGCGUCAAGUCAUCAUGGCCUUUAUGUCCAGGGCUACACACGUGCUACAAUGGUCGGUACAAAGGGCUGCAAACCCGCGAGGGGAGCUAAUCCCAAAAAGCCGGCCUCAGUUCGGAUUGCAGUCUGCAACUCGACUGCUUGAAGGUGGAAUCGCUAGUAAUCGCGUAUCAGAACGACGCGGUGAAUACGUUCCCGGGCCUUGUACACACCGCCCGUCACAUCACGAAAGUCAGCUGUACCCGAAGCCGGUGGGCCAACCCGCAAGGGAGGCAGCCGUCCACGGUGUGGUUGGCGAUUGGGGUGAAGUCGUACAGGGUAACCCGGGCGCGCUCGAGCCAGGGGCGAUUUCUGCAGAU
This 364-nucleotide ribosomal RNA is filed under the name uncultured bacterium. RNAcentral's name for it is "bacterial SSU rRNA". It matches the Rfam family "Bacterial small subunit ribosomal RNA", at positions 1173 to 1533 of the family's 1533-position model. The record is from RNAcentral.